This 402-nucleotide ribosomal RNA is filed under the name uncultured Sphingobium sp. Its description in RNAcentral is "bacterial SSU rRNA". It matches the Rfam family "Bacterial small subunit ribosomal RNA", at positions 355 to 774 of the family's 1533-position model. Lineage: Bacteria; Pseudomonadati; Pseudomonadota; Alphaproteobacteria; Sphingomonadales; Sphingobiaceae. The record is from RNAcentral.
UAGGGAAUAUUGGACAAUGGGGGAAACCCUGAUCCAGCAAUGCCGCGUGAGCGAUGAAGGCCUUAGGGUUGUAAAGCUCUUUUACCCGGGAUGAUAAUGACAGUACCGGGAGAAUAAGCCCCGGCUAACUCCGUGCCAGCAGCCGCGGUAAUACGGAGGGGGCUAGCGUUGUUCGGAAUUACUGGGCGUAAAGCGCACGUAGGCGGCGAUUUAAGUCAGAGGUGAAAGCCCGGGGCUCAACCCCGGAAUAGCCUUUGAGACUGGAUUGCUAGAAUCUUGGAGAGGCGAGUGGAAUUCCGAGUGUAGAGGUGAAAUUCGUAGAUAUUCGGAAGAACACCAGUGGCGAAGGCGGCUCGCUGGACAAGUAUUGACGCUGAGGUGCGAAAGCGUGGGGAGCAAACA